RNAcentral lists this non-coding RNA (97 nucleotides) under Oxalobacter formigenes. RNAcentral describes it as "TPP sequence". It matches the Rfam family "TPP riboswitch aptamer (THI element)". From Rfam's summary of the family: Vitamin B(1) in its active form thiamin pyrophosphate (TPP) is an essential coenzyme that is synthesised by coupling of pyrimidine and thiazole moieties in bacteria. RNAcentral also lists the same sequence under 1 other name. The record is from RNAcentral. Lineage: Bacteria; Pseudomonadati; Pseudomonadota; Betaproteobacteria; Burkholderiales; Oxalobacteraceae.
UCAGAAUGCUAGGGGUUCUGGCCGACGGGCCGGGCGAGAUACACCCUCUGAACCUGAUCUGGGUAAUGCCAGCGAAGGGAAGCGAAAAGUGUGCAUG